GGUUCAAUGCCACAUUGUCGAUAGCUGAAGGGUCGUGACCGGCGAUGCUAUGAUUGAUCCAAUAACAAGUUUUUCACAUCUUCAUAGGAAUCUAUUUAUCUUUUUUCUAUAGAUUUACGGAGCCGCUUUCUGUGAUUACACUU
Cucumis sativus (cucumber) is the source of this 143-nucleotide non-coding RNA. The record is from Rfam. Lineage: Eukaryota; Viridiplantae; Streptophyta; Magnoliopsida; Cucurbitales; Cucurbitaceae.